RNAcentral lists this small RNA (196 nucleotides) under Arabidopsis thaliana (thale cress). Its description in RNAcentral is "ATSL201030". Lineage: Eukaryota; Viridiplantae; Streptophyta; Magnoliopsida; Brassicales; Brassicaceae. The record is from RNAcentral.
AACUUUCGGAAUACAGUUGCGGUUCUAGUUCUUAUACUCAAUCAAUACACAUGACAUCUAUUCAUGUUUGACACAAAAACCCAAACCAUGCUUCUACUGCCUGCACAAAGAUUUGACCCUGUAGUAGAAGUCCGUAAGAUUUUUUGUUUUCCGAUCUUCCAACAAGGAAAGAACACUUUAGCUUCAAUGAUCUGGU